GACGAACGCUGGCGGCGUGCUUAACACAUGCAAGUCGAGCGAUGAAACUCCUUCGGGAGUGGAUUAGCGGCGGACGGGUGAGUAACACGUGGGUAACCUACCUCAAAGAGGGGGAUAGCCUCCCGAAAGGGAGAUUAAUACCGCAUAGUAAGUAAAUACCGCAUGGUAUCUACUUUAAAGGAGUAAUCCGCUUUGAGAUGGACCCGCGGCGCAUUAGCUAGUUGGUAGGGUAACAGCCUACCAAGGCAACGAUGCGUAGCCGACCUGAGAGGGUGAUCGGCCACAUUGGAACUGAGAGACGGUCCAGACUCCUACGGGAGCAG
This 323-nucleotide ribosomal RNA is filed under the name uncultured Bacillota bacterium. Its description in RNAcentral is "bacterial SSU rRNA". It matches the Rfam family "Bacterial small subunit ribosomal RNA", at positions 28 to 351 of the family's 1533-position model. The record is from RNAcentral. Lineage: Bacteria; Bacillati; Bacillota.